CUCUUUCUAUAAAAACAACAUUUUCACAAACACAUUGCAUUCAUUCAAACGGACAGUCAUUAAGAAUUAAUUAACUAAUCAACUCAAAAUUUUGAGAAAAACAAUUAAUUAAUAUAUUAGUAAUUGAAUGCUAUUGAUUGAUUUGUAGAUGAGAGAGACGUAGACGCGAGGACGCUCUGUGUCGAUCUCGUUCGCGACGAGGAGAAUGGGAGCGAUGGAUGCGAGGGUUGAGGGGACGACCUCAUUGUGGAAAACCUCCGUAGAGAAGGAGCACGACGAUUAGAAAAGCCUUGAUGAUGCGGUAGAGGCACAAUGAGGCGACCUCAUUGUCCUCACCGGAAUCCUAGAUCGUCAGAGACGUUGAUCUAAAUAUUUUCCCGGCGACAAUUAAUCGGCACAGCGUUUGAAGCUCUGCGGUGUGUUCUCUUUCUCCGAGAGUACGUCUUGAGGGAGCUGAAAGCGAGGGGCUUUGCUAAACUACGAAGGGUAUAUGUGACCUAAAUAAAGGUAAGAAAUCGAAGUUAUUUUGUGUAGCCUCUAGAAUUUUCCACGAGUUCAAAACUUUCAUACCAAAAACAAAACCAACCACAAACUCCCUUCUGCCGCUGCAUCUCGAAACCCUAAAUUCCCUUUUCC
Molecule: long non-coding RNA, 636 nt
Filed under: Prunus dulcis (almond)
Lineage: Eukaryota; Viridiplantae; Streptophyta; Magnoliopsida; Rosales; Rosaceae
Description: sRNA ncRNA
Source: RNAcentral